AUGGAUUGUACUCUCCGUAUCAUGUUCUGGAACACUCGUGGCCUCAACUGUCCUGCGAAGCGGAGCUCUGUCCGCUCGGUCGUGUGUGCUGCUCGCACCACCAUGGUCUGCCUGCAAGAGACGAAGCUCGCAGACGUCACCCCCUUGUUGGUCGCCAAUUCUCUUGGGAGCGAGUUCUCUAAUUUCUUUAACCUCCCUGCUUGGCGCCCAUCCGAGAUCUCCCUAACCAACCCCUUCAUCGGGGCUCAUUUCAUCGCGGCCUGCGCCACCACCCUAGGAUCCAACUCUCACUGGUAG
This 297-nucleotide ribosomal RNA is filed under the name Triticum aestivum (bread wheat). RNAcentral's name for it is "partial small subunit ribosomal RNA". Lineage: Eukaryota; Viridiplantae; Streptophyta; Magnoliopsida; Poales; Poaceae. The record is from RNAcentral.